ACGCUCACUUUAAUAGCAUAUAUGCUAAAAGCAGAAUGAUUCAAAAUUAGACAUGGGCUCUGAGCAAGGACGACAUGCAAACUUGUGAAGCAUUCCCUAUUUUU
This 104-nucleotide small nuclear RNA is filed under the name Microtus ochrogaster (prairie vole). The record is from RNAcentral. Lineage: Eukaryota; Metazoa; Chordata; Mammalia; Rodentia; Cricetidae.